UUCGGGCCUUGGGUAGCGCAGCUAACGCGUGAAGUUGACCGCCUGGGGAGUACGGUCGCAAGAUUAAAACUCAAAGGAAUUGACGGGGACCCGCACAAGCGGUGGAUGAUGUGGAUUAAUUCGAUGCAACGCGAAAAACCUUACCUACCCUUGACAUGUCUGGAAUGCCGAAGAGAUUUGGCAGUGCUCGCAAGAGAACCGGAACACAGGUGCUGCAUGGCUGUCGUCAGCUCGUGUCGUGAGAUGUUGGGUUAAGUCCCGCAACGAGCGCAACCCUUGUCAUUAGUUGCUACGAAAGGGCACUCUAAUGAGACUGCCGGUGACAAACCGGAGGAAGGUGGGGAUGACGUCAAGUCCUCAUGGCCCUUAUGGGUAGGGCUUCACACGUCAUACAAUGGUCGGGACAGAGGGUCGCCAACCCGCGAGGGGGAGCCAAUCCCAGAAACCCGAUCGUAGUCCGGAUCGCAGUCUGCAACUCGACUGCGUGAAGUCGGAAUCGCUAGUAAUCGCGGAUCAGCAUGUCGCGGUGAAUACGUUCCC
Molecule: ribosomal RNA, 540 nt
Filed under: uncultured bacterium
Lineage: Bacteria
Description: bacterial SSU rRNA
Rfam family: Bacterial small subunit ribosomal RNA
Source: RNAcentral